This 471-nucleotide ribosomal RNA is filed under the name uncultured bacterium. RNAcentral describes it as "bacterial SSU rRNA". It matches the Rfam family "Bacterial small subunit ribosomal RNA", at positions 32 to 506 of the family's 1533-position model. The record is from RNAcentral.
GUCAACGCUGGCGGCGUGCCUAACACAUGCAAGUCGAGCGAGAAAGGGGGGGCAACUCCCUGAGUAAAGCGGCGCACGGGUGAGUAACACGUGGGUAAUCUACCCUGGAGUGGGGAAUAACACCGGGAAACCGGUGCUAAUACCGCAUACGAUCACGAUGUCUGCGGAUGUUGUGAUGAAAGGAGCAAUUCGCUCCAGGAGGAGCCCGCGGCUGAUUAGCUAGUUGGUGAGGUAAUGGCUCACCAAGGCUUCGAUCAGUAUCCGGUCUGAGAGGACGGUCGGACACACUGGAACUGAGACACGGUCCAGACUCCUACGGGAGGCAGCAGUGGGGAAUUUUUCGCAAUGGGGGCAACCCUGACGAAGCAACGCCGCGUGGAUGAUGAAGUAUCUCGGUACGUAAAAUCCUUUCGACAGGGACGAAGCCGCAAGGUUGACGGUACCUGUAGAAGAAGCCCCGGCUAACUCCGU